This 496-nucleotide ribosomal RNA is filed under the name uncultured bacterium. Its description in RNAcentral is "bacterial SSU rRNA". It matches the Rfam family "Bacterial small subunit ribosomal RNA", at positions 28 to 521 of the family's 1533-position model. The record is from RNAcentral.
AUUGAACGCUGGCGGCAUGCUUUACACAUGCAAGUCGAGCGGCAGCGCGGGGGCAACCCUGGCGGCGAGCGGCGAACGGGUGAGUAAUGCAUCGGAACGUACCCUGGAGUGGGGGAUAACGCCGCGAAAGCGGCGCUAAUACCGCAUAUGCUCUGAGGAGGAAAGUGGGGGACCUGCAAGGGCCUCACGCUCUGGGAGCGGCCGAUGUCCGAUUAGCUAGUUGGUGGGGUAAAGGCUUACCAAGGCGACGAUCGGUAGCUGGUCUGAGAGGAUGAUCAGCCACACUGGGACUGAGACACGGCCCAGACUCCUACGGGAGGCAGCAGUGGGGAAUUUUGGACAAUGGGGGCAACCCUGAUCCAGCCAUGCCGCGUGAGUGAAGAAGGCCUUCGGUUGUAAAGCUCUUUGGUUCGGGAGAAAGUGCUUGCUAACAGGUGGGUAGUUUGACGGUACCGGCAGAAUAAGCACCGGCUAACUACGUGCCAGCAGCCGCGGU